GGGUUCUUAUUUCAGUCGGUUAGAAAACUUGGCUCGUAACCGAGCAGUCCCGGGGUUGAGCCCCAGAGAAUCCA
This 74-nucleotide transfer RNA is filed under the name Roseburia sp. 1XD42-69. Lineage: Bacteria; Bacillati; Bacillota; Clostridia; Lachnospirales; Lachnospiraceae. The record is from Rfam by way of RNAcentral.